CCCCAUUUCUCGAUCUCUUUGGUUGUACAAAGUGGUAUGGCAAUUUCAUUAAAAAUGCUCAUACCGCUUUUCAGCUGAAGGAAUCGUGUUUGUGGGUA
This is a non-coding RNA of Caenorhabditis brenneri, 98 nucleotides long. NCBI's taxonomy places the organism in Eukaryota, Metazoa, Nematoda, Chromadorea, Rhabditida, Rhabditidae. The record is from Rfam.